CUCAGCUCAUUCUCAUCCUGUUUGAGGCUGGGGACAGGGUAAAAGGCUCCUCUCUUCUCUCUCUCUAGGUUUCCUCUCUCUCUAAAUAGAAAUCAAGGAUUUGGGCUUGAUUUCAUUUCCCUUUUGAGAGUUUUUGAAUUAGGAGGUGUAGAUCAGCUGUGGAUGUAUGGAAAGGAGAGAUCGGAGAAGGUUUCUUAGUUCUAAUUCAGUUGAAAGCUGAAUUACAGCUUUAGGAGCUGAUUUGGAGGAAGUUAAAGACAGCUAAAGAGGAGUUAUACCGUUAUAAUAUUUCUACUCAAACCCAGGGGAAAGCUGGAUUGAAACUUUGGGAAUCAGCUUGGAUAACCACUUUGAGCUGAAUAAUAUGCUUUGGUGAACUGGUUCUGAGUAUAUUUCAACCUAAGGAAAGUACAAUUCCAAGUUAAGAAUCUAUGCAAGUUAAAUUUCAGCCUAUACUACAUAGUUAAACAAGUGUAGUGAUGUUGUUUUUGGUAAUAGUUCGCAGCAGGGUUGCGACAAAUCGUCGGGUUGUUUUCGGUUGACAUUUGGGAGUUUUCGAAGGUUAAUUUGGAGUACUAACCUGAACCAAAACAAAGGCUUAAGAUAUAGCCUUGUACAAGGACCCAUGUGGGCUGAUUUGAGUUGAGUAUUGGAGACCUUUGCUUAAAGUGAAGAGUAGACUUAACUUCCCUUUAAAUCCAAGAAGCUUGAAUACUUGGAUCGCUUAUCAGUGUGAACUCGACAACAGUCGUUGACUAUUGGUGGGUUUGGCCUCCCCGAAAUGGAGCCUUCCACUGCGGGAAAGGCUAGGGUUCCUGGCGAGGGGUCAACGGCUAGCUAGAGCUUUCUCGAUGAUAAAUAGAUGAACCUCUACCAAUUAAUUGUGAUGUAGUUCAGUGUUGUAUACUGAGAGUAUGUAGAAUGUAUUUUGUUUUCUUUACAUUGUAAUAAGGUUUUGGGUUGUAUAAGUUUUAAACUUUUAGUUGUGCUCUGAUUACUUAGUUAAGUUA
Ananas comosus (pineapple) is the source of this 1010-nucleotide long non-coding RNA. RefSeq lists it as uncharacterized. The record is from RefSeq and is a predicted model, not a curated record. Lineage: Eukaryota; Viridiplantae; Streptophyta; Magnoliopsida; Poales; Bromeliaceae. The transcript has 5 exons.